UACGUAGGGUGCAAGCGUUAAUCGGAAUUACUGGGCGUAAAGCGUGCGCAGGCGGUUUUGUAAGUCUGUCGUGAAAUCCCCCGGGCUCAACCUGGGAAUUGCGAUGGAGACUGCAAGGCUAGAAUCUGGCAGAGGGGGGUAGAAUUCCACGUGUAGCAGUGAAAUGCGUAGAGAUGUGGAGGAACACCGAUGGCGAAGGCAGCCCCCCUGGGUCAAGAUUGACGCUCAUGCACGAAAGCGUGGGGAGCAAACAGG
This 255-nucleotide ribosomal RNA is filed under the name uncultured bacterium. RNAcentral's name for it is "partial 16S ribosomal RNA". It matches the Rfam family "Bacterial small subunit ribosomal RNA", at positions 524 to 776 of the family's 1533-position model. The record is from RNAcentral.